Molecule: non-coding RNA, 21 nt
Filed under: Arabidopsis thaliana (thale cress)
Lineage: Eukaryota; Viridiplantae; Streptophyta; Magnoliopsida; Brassicales; Brassicaceae
Source: RNAcentral
AGAGUUUCAGAAUAUAGCUGG